GCGCUGGUAGCUCAGUGGUAGAGCAAAGGCCUUUUAAGCCUGUGGUCGCGGGUUCGAUCCCCGCUCGGCGCACCA
Molecule: transfer RNA, 75 nt
Filed under: Candidatus Uhrbacteria bacterium
Lineage: Bacteria; Candidatus Uhriibacteriota
Description: tRNA-Lys
Rfam family: tRNA
About the family: Transfer RNA (tRNA) molecules are approximately 80 nucleotides in length.
Source: RNAcentral